Molecule: non-coding RNA, 327 nt
Organism: Pelobates cultripes (western spadefoot toad)
Lineage: Eukaryota; Metazoa; Chordata; Amphibia; Anura; Pelobatidae
Source: the annotation of a GenBank genome assembly
UUUCUCAGCAAAACAAAAUCCGUAGACUGGACGCCAGGUCAGAAACGACAAAAUCAAUACUGGAGGAUGAUUAGUUGUACUGCUCCAGCGAAUGUCUCACCCAGCUGCACAGGGUCCACUCCUAAAAGAACCCUGGCCCCCUAAGGUAAAAGGACAAACACACAGUGUGGGUGGCAGUGUUUCUUCUAAGGUGCAUACUGCGGAGUUAAAAACGUGCGUCCUUAUGAAGCGAUGUAAUGUGUAAUAUUGCGCUGAGCCAUUUUAUUACAAGCUGCUAUGUAACUGUUUACUUUAGCUGGAGCAAUGUGUCAAUGGUUAUGCUGCAUG